AGUCGUGUGUCUCGAGCCAUGGCGAGACGCGGCGUACGGCUUAAUAUCACGUGGCUAACCUACCCUUAGGACGGGGACAACCCCGGGAAACUGGGGCCUAUCUCCGAUAGGUGAGGACGCCUGGAAUGGUUCUUCAUUGAAAGGGCGUUAAGGCCAUGCUUCUUGACGUUGCCUAAGGAUGGGGCCGCGUCCGAUCAGGUUGUUGGUGAGGUAACGGCUCACCAAACCUAUAACUGGUACGGGCCGUGAGAGCGGGAGCCCGAAGAUGGGCACUGAGACAAGGGCCCAGGUCCUACGGGGCGCAGCAGUCGCGAAAACUCCGCAAUGCGCGAAAGCGUGACGGGGCUACCCCAAGUGCCGUCCGCUGAGGAUGGCUUUUCCUUGGUGUAAUGAGCCAAGGGAAUAAGGAGAGGGCAAGCCUGGUGUCAGCCGCCGCGGUAAUACCAGCUCUCCUAGUGGUAGGGAUGAUUAUUGGGCUUAAAGCGUCCGUAGCCGGUCUGGCAAGUCUUCCGUCAAAUCCAACGACCCAAUCGUUGGACUGCGGAAGAUACUGUUGGGCUAGGAGGCGGGAGAGGCCGACGGUAUCUCGGGGUAGGGGUGAAAUCCUAUAAUCCCGGGAGGACCACCAGUGGCGAAGGCUGUCAGCUAGAACGCGCUCGACGGUGAGGGACGAAAGCUGGGGUAGCGAACCGGAUUAGAUACCCGGGUAGUCCCAGCUGUAAACGAUGCGGGCUAGGUGUUGGGGUGGCUACGAGCCACUUCAGUGCCGCAGGGAAGCCAUUAAGCCCGCCGCCUGGGAAGUACGGCCGCAAGGCUGAAACUUAAAGGAAUUGGCGGGGGAGCACCACAAGGCGUGAAGCUUGCGGUUUAAUUGGAGUCAACGCCGGGAACCUUACCGGGGGCGACAGCAGGAUGAAAGCCAGAUUAAAGGUCUUGCUGGACAAGCUGAGAGGAGGUGCAUGGCCGUCGCCAGUUCGUGCCGUGAGGUGUCCUGUUAAGUCAGGCAACGAUCGAGACCCGCGCCCUUAGUUGCGACCUGUUACGGCUUACCGUUCAGAGCACACUAAGGGGACCGCCGUCGACGAGGCGGAGGAAGGAGCGGGCCACGGCAGGUCAGUAUGCCCCGAAUCCUCCGGGCCACACGCGAGCUGCAAUGGCAGGGACAAUGGGUUCCGACCUUGAAAAAGGGAGGCAAUCUCUAAACCCUGCCUCAGUUGGGAUCGAGGGCUGCAACCCGCCCUCGUGAACAUGGAAUGC
This 1257-nucleotide ribosomal RNA is filed under the name uncultured crenarchaeote. RNAcentral's name for it is "bacterial SSU rRNA". It matches the Rfam family "Archaeal small subunit ribosomal RNA", at positions 56 to 1290 of the family's 1478-position model. The record is from RNAcentral. Lineage: Archaea; Thermoproteati; Thermoproteota.